This is a long non-coding RNA of Homo sapiens (human), 480 nucleotides long. Ensembl annotates it as arachidonate 12-lipoxygenase pseudogene 2. Its record names the gene ALOX12P2. The record is from Ensembl. Lineage: Eukaryota; Metazoa; Chordata; Mammalia; Primates; Hominidae.
GCAAGAUGGGCAAGUACACGGUCCGCGUAGCCACCGGGGAUUUGCUCCUGGCGGGCUCUCCCAACCUGGUGCAGCUAUGGCUGGUGGGCGAGCACGGGGAGGCAGACCUAGGGAAGCAGCUGCCACCGGUGUGGGGAAAGGAGGCAGAGUUUGAGAUCGACGUCCCCCUGCACCUGGGGCGCCUCCUGAUGGUGAAGCUGCGCAAACACAACGUGCUGUUGAGUCUCGACUGGUUCUGCAAGUGGAUCUCAGUGCAGGGCCCGGGGACCCAAGGCGAGGCCUUUUUCCCCUGCUACCGCUGGGUGCAGGGCCACGGAAUUAUCUGCCUGCCUGAGGGUGGGGCUCCUGGAAAGAUGGGUUAAUCCUGCCUAUAGCAGGGAAUAGGCAACCGGACCUUCCUAGGGACGAGCGAUUCCUCGAGGAUAAGGAUUUAGACUUUAAUGUCUCCCUAGCAAAAGGGUUGAAGGACUUGGCCAUUAA